AUGAACGCUAGCUACAGGCUUAACACAUGCAAGUCGAGGGGCAGCAUUUCAGUUUGCUUGCAAACUGGAGAUGGCGACCGGCGCACGGGUGAGUAACACGUAUCCAACCUGCCGAUAACUCGGGGAUAGCCUUUCGAAAGAAAGAUUAAUACCCGAUGGUAUAAUCAGACCGCAUGGUCUUGUUAUUAAAGAAUUUCGGUUAUCGAUGGGGAUGCGUUCCAUUAGGCAGUUGGUGAGGUAACGGCUCACCAAACCUUCGAUGGAUAGGGGUUCUGAGAGGAAGGUCCCCCACAUUGGAACUGAGACACGGUCCAAACUCCUACGGGAGGCAGCAGUGAGGAAUAUUGGUCAAUGGGCGCAGGCCUGAACCAGCCAAGUAGCGUGAAGGAUGACUGCCCUAUGGGUUGUAAACUUCUUUUAUAUGGGAAUAAAGUUUUCCACGUGUGGAAUUUUGUAUGUACCAUAUGAAUAAGGAUCGGCUAACUCCGUGCCAGCAGCCGCGGUAAUACGGAGGAUCCGAGCGUUAUCCGGAUUUAUUGGGUUUAAAGGGAGCGUAGGUGGACAGUUAAGUCAGUUGUGAAAGUUUGCGGCUCAACCGUAAAAUUGCAGUUGAUACUGGCUGUCUUGAGUACAGUAGAGGUGGGCGGAAUUCGUGGUGUAGCGGUGAAAUGCUUAGAUAUCACGAAGAACUCCGAUUGCGAAGGCAGCUCACUGGACUGCAACUGACACUGAUGCUCGAAAGUGUGGGUAUCAAACAGGAUUAGAUACCCUGGUAGUCCACACAGUAAACGAUGAAUACUCGCUGUUUGCGAUAUACAGUAAGCGGCCAAGCGAAAGCAUUAAGUAUUCCACCUGGGGAGUACGCCGGCAACGGUGAAACUCAAAGGAAUUGACGGGGGCCCGCACAAGCGGAGGAACAUGUGGUUUAAUUCGAUGAUACGCGAGGAACCUUACCCGGGCUUAAAUUGCAUUUGAAUAAUCUGGAAACAGGUUAGCCGCAAGGCAAAUGUGAAGGUGCUGCAUGGUUGUCGUCAGCUCGUGCCGUGAGGUGUCGGCUUAAGUGCCAUAACGAGUGCAACCCUUAUCUUUAGUUACUAACAGGUCAUGCUGAGGACUCUAGAGAGACUGCCGUCGUAAGAUGUGAGGAAGGUGGGGAUGACGUCAAAUCAGCACGGCCCUUACGUCCGGGGCUACACACGUGUUACAAUGGGGGGUACAGAAGGCAGCUACCUGGUGACAGGAUGCUAAUCCCAAAAGCCUCUCUCAGUUCGGAUCGAAGUCUGCAACCCGACUUCGUGAAGCUGGAUUCGCUAGUAAUCGCGCAUCAGCCAUGGCGCGGUGAAUACGUUCCCGGGCCUUGUACACACCGCCCGUCAAGCCAUGAAAGCCGGGGGUACCUGAAGUACGUAACCGCAAGGAGCGUCCUAGGGU
RNAcentral lists this ribosomal RNA (1431 nucleotides) under uncultured organism. RNAcentral's name for it is "SSU rRNA". It matches the Rfam family "Bacterial small subunit ribosomal RNA". The record is from RNAcentral.